AUGCACACAAAAUAUGCACACUCUGACACAUGGCAGAGCAAAGAGAAAGGGAAAAGAAGUCUAAAAGAAGAAGCCAGCAACCAAAGGUCAGCUCGGGCGGCUCAGCCACGUGCAGUCCACCCACAACCCUGGUCAGGUCAUGUGAGACGAAGACCAAAGCCUCAUCAACACUCCAUUGUCUUCCAGAGCCCUGCCUGUGCUGUACCCUCCAGCCCAGGACUGCUUUGCUCACCCGUCCCCGAGGGGAUGCUCCAGGGCUCUUUCAGUCCUCACCUGCAGAAAGAACUGAGUGAUGCUCAGAUGCUCACAAAGCCGUGGGCUUAUGGUUCCUGCCCACAGGCCCCUGAGCCCCACAGGACCCACCCAGGGAAGGAGGCCAGGGCUGGCUGACUGGACGCACUCCCAAGGCCCAAGAUCUUCACUUGCAACUCUGACGUUCAGUUUUUCCCAUCUCACCCAUCCUGUCAGCCUCA
This 473-nucleotide long non-coding RNA is filed under the name Chinchilla lanigera (long-tailed chinchilla). Its description in RNAcentral is "lncRNA (ENSCLAG00000026748.1)". The record is from RNAcentral. Lineage: Eukaryota; Metazoa; Chordata; Mammalia; Rodentia; Chinchillidae.